Macaca fascicularis (crab-eating macaque) is the source of this 1925-nucleotide long non-coding RNA. Lineage: Eukaryota; Metazoa; Chordata; Mammalia; Primates; Cercopithecidae. The record is from Ensembl.
UGUUGGCCAAAAUCAUUUAUUAUCUACAUUAGGACCUUUCUGAGAAAGUAAAGGCUUACACUGAAUAAUUAUGUUGAGACAACAGGUGUAAACCAAGAUUGUCCUAGAAACACCAAAAGUAUGGCCAUCAUUAUGAAGCAUUGUAAUAAUGAGCACCUUUGAACCCAACUUCAGCAUGAGAGCAUGACCAAUGCUGUGAGUUUCUUCCUUGUCCCAUUCCCCUGCCUUCCCUACAGAAGUAACUACUACCUUAAAUUCUGUGACUCAUUUUCUCAUUAAAAACAAAUAAACAUACUUUUAUCACAUAUGUAUGAAAACCUAAACAAUAUCAUUUAAUUUUGCUUGUUUCGAAGCCUUACAAGUGUCAGAUCCUGUUGUAUGUAGUCCUCUGCAACAGGCUUUUCUCACUCCGCAUUAUAAUUCUAUGAUUCCUUCUUGUAGUCGGCCACAGCUAUGAUAGACUCACUGCCACUGCUGUAUAGGAUUUCAUUAUAUGGUGAUGCCACAAUUAAUUCAUUUUACUGUUAAGGACAUUAGGGUGGUUUCCAUGUUUUUAUCACAAUAAACAGCACUGCUAUGAAUAUCCUUGCUCCUGUCUCUGGGUGCUUGCAUGCAUGUGUAUCUCUAGGGUUUAUACUUAGUAAUGAAAUCGCAAUAUUCUAAAGCGGUUUCAGCAAUUUACACUGCAUUAAGAGCAUAUAAGGAUCCCCGCUGAUUCCUGCCUCUGCCAUGCUUGCCACUGUGGGACUCCUUUUCCAUGGAAAAUCUUCCUGUGGUCUUAAUUUACAUUUUCCUGAUUUCUAUAAGGCUGAGAGUCUUUUCUUGUGGUUUAUUUUUCAUUCAUAUUUUUCUGCUGUGAAAUUCUCAUUCAUAUAUUUCGCUCUUUUUUAAUUGAGUUGUCUUCUUACUGAUUUGUAAGAAUUCUUUAUGUAUUCUGGAUAGUAAUGCUUUGUGCAUUAUUUGUGCUAUAAUAUAUUCUCCCAGUUUGUGACUUGUCUUUUCAACAAUCAGAAAAAAAAUUAACUUGGACAAAGAAGAGAUUAGGCAUGGUGAGAAACACUUCAACAGAAACAACAGUAAAACAUUACUAACAUCCUCAAAGAAAUAAGAGAAAAUAUUGCAUCCAUGAAAAAAGAACGAGAUACUCUAAAAAGCAGAAUAGUCAAAGAACAAACAAAAGGCUUUUGGAAAUACGAUAAGAUACAUUUCUGAAAAACAACAAAAAACUGUUGAAGAGUUGAAGAAAAUUUCCAGAAUGAAGAGCAAAACGGGAUGAAAAAUAGGUGAAAAAAAGAUAUAAGAAAUAUAGAGAACUGGUCCAGGAGGGCCAGUAUUUGAAUAAUUAAGGAGUUCCUGAAAGAAAAAAUAAAAUCAUUAUAGAGGUACUUCUUUUAAAUUUUCUCCAAAAUGAAGAUGAUUAGUUUGUCGGUGAGGACUCACUGGGUGCCCAGCACAGUGAAUGGAAAUCGAUUCACUUCAGGACACACUAAGGCUGAGCAGGCAUGGUGGUAUGAGCCUGUAGUCCCAACGACUCAGGGGGCUGGGGCAGGAGGAUCCUCGCGCCCAGGAGGUCAAGCCUGCAGUGAGCGAUGGCUGUGUCACUGAACUCCAGCGUAGGCGGCAAUGAGAUCCCUUCUCUUAAAAGAAAAGACCUACUGAGGACACAGCUUCCAGAAAGAGAGAACAGAGUCUCUACAGAACAGCCUUGGACUUUUCAGCAGAAACUAGAAGACAAUGGAGCAAGCCUUCAAAAGUCAGAGGGAAAAAUAUUUCCAGUUUAGGAAUUUAUACCUGGUCAAACUAUCUGAUUAAAUGUGAGGCACUUUUAGAAAUGCAAGGUCUUAAGAUUUCACCUCAAACACAUCCUUUUAGAAAAGUAUAGGUAUAUAUGUGGCCAGGCAUGGUGGCUCACGCCUGUAAUCCCA